This 465-nucleotide ribosomal RNA is filed under the name uncultured Hyphomicrobiales bacterium. Its description in RNAcentral is "bacterial SSU rRNA". It matches the Rfam family "Bacterial small subunit ribosomal RNA", at positions 9 to 522 of the family's 1533-position model. Lineage: Bacteria; Pseudomonadati; Pseudomonadota; Alphaproteobacteria; Hyphomicrobiales. The record is from RNAcentral.
GAGUUUGAUCCUGGCUCAGAACGAACGCUGGCGGCAGGCUUAACACAUGCAAGUCGAGCGCCCCGCAAGGGGAGCGGCAGACGGGUGAGUAACACGUGGGAACGUACCCUUUGGUUCGGAACAACUCCGGGAAACUGGAGCUAAUACCGGAUAAGCCCUAACGGGGAAAGAUUUAUCGCCGAAGGAUCGGCCCGCGUCUGAUUAGCUAGUUGGUGAGGUAAUGGCUCACCAAGGCGACGAUCAGUAGCUGGUCUGAGAGGAUGAUCAGCCACACUGGGACUGAGACACGGCCCAGACUCCUACGGGAGGCAGCAGUGGGGAAUAUUGGACAAUGGGCGCAAGCCUGAUCCAGCCAUGCCGCGUGAGUGAUGAAGGCCUUAGGGUUGUAAAGCUCUUUUGUCCGGGAAGAUAAUGACGGUACCGGAAGAAUAAGCCCCGGCUAGCUUCGUGCCAGCAGCCGCGGUA